AUGACGCUCUGCUUUGCUGCUGGCCGUGUGCUGAAGAGGCCGAAGCAGGAAGAUGAACAGCAGCAGCAGGAGGCAACGAUCCAGCUGCUGGGGCAGCAGCAGAACCUCUGCAGUCUGCUCAGGGAGGUUGGGAAUCCAGAGCUGUGUAACAUUUUUCGCUCUCAGAUUGGAGAGCAGAAACAGUCGAAAGGAGCCUCAUGUGCCAUUGCUCGAUCAUUGCUGGUGUGUGAGCUGAGGCGGCAGGCAUUGCAGCUGGGUGUCCCUAUGGCAGUGCUGGCAGUGAAGAUGGUACUGGAGAGACUGAUGGAGAUCACUGGAACUGAGGAUGAAAAGGAAGAAGAGGACAAGAGGAGAGGGCUGCUCACCUGCUCUCAGCGAGUAAGUGUCUGACUGUAUGUUUUGACUCAUUGUUUUGUGGCUGAACCCUCAUGCAAAUAUAAAAACAAGCCCCCAGACAAUAGUAAACCUAUGGUUAACUG
RNAcentral lists this long non-coding RNA (479 nucleotides) under Sparus aurata (gilthead seabream). RNAcentral describes it as "lncRNA (ENSSAUG00010023687.1)". Lineage: Eukaryota; Metazoa; Chordata; Actinopteri; Spariformes; Sparidae. The record is from RNAcentral.